RNAcentral lists this ribosomal RNA (497 nucleotides) under uncultured bacterium. RNAcentral describes it as "partial 16S ribosomal RNA". It matches the Rfam family "Bacterial small subunit ribosomal RNA", at positions 28 to 507 of the family's 1533-position model. The record is from RNAcentral.
GAUGAACGCUGGCGGCGUGCCUAAUACAUGCAAGUCGAGCGAACGGACGAGAAGCUUGCUUUUCUGAUGUUAGCGGCGGACGGGUGAGUAACACGUGGAUAACCUACCUAUAAGACUGGGAUAACUUCGGGAAACCGGAGCUAAUACCGGAUAAUAUUUUGAACCGCAUGGUUCAAAAGUGAAAGACGGUCUUGCUGUCACUUAUAGAUGGAUCCGCGCUGCAUUAGCUAGUUGGUAAGGUAACGGCUUACCAAGGCAACGAUGCAUAGCCGACCUGAGAGGGUGAUCGGCCACACUGGAACUGAGACACGGUCCAGACUCCUACGGGAGGCAGCAGUAGGGAAUCUUCCGCAAUGGGCGAAAGCCUGACGCAGCAACGCCGCGUGAGCGAUGAAGGUCUUCGGAUCGUAAAACUCUGUUAUUAGGGAAGAACAUAUGUGUAAGUAACUGUGCACAUCAUGACGGUACCUAAUCAGAAAGCCACGGCUAACUACGUG